GUGCUGGUUUCAGCAGCACAUAUGCUAAAAUUGAAAUGAUACAGAGAAAAUAAGCAUGGCCUCUGCACAAGGAAGACAGACAAAUUCACGGAGCAUUCUGCAUUUGU
RNAcentral lists this small nuclear RNA (107 nucleotides) under Sciurus vulgaris (Eurasian red squirrel). The record is from RNAcentral. Lineage: Eukaryota; Metazoa; Chordata; Mammalia; Rodentia; Sciuridae.